RNAcentral lists this ribosomal RNA (1393 nucleotides) under Mycobacterium vicinigordonae. RNAcentral's name for it is "16S ribosomal RNA". It matches the Rfam family "Bacterial small subunit ribosomal RNA". The record is from RNAcentral. Lineage: Bacteria; Bacillati; Actinomycetota; Actinomycetes; Mycobacteriales; Mycobacteriaceae.
GUGCUUAACACAUGCAAGUCGAACGGUAAGGCCCUUCGGGGUACACGAGUGGCGAACGGGUGAGUAACACGUGGGUAAUCUGCCCUGCACAUCGGGAUAAGCCUGGGAAACUGGGUCUAAUACCGGAUAGGACCACAGAACACAUGUCCUGUGGUGGAAAGCUUUUGCGGUGUGGGAUGGGCCCGCGGCCUAUCAGCUUGUUGGUGGGGUGAUGGCCUACCAAGGCGACGACGGGUAGCCGGCCUGAGAGGGUGUCCGGCCACACUGGGACUGAGAUACGGCCCAGACUCCUACGGGAGGCAGCAGUGGGGAAUAUUGCACAAUGGGCGAAAGCCUGAUGCAGCGACGCCGCGUGGGGGAUGACGGCCUUCGGGUUGUAAACCUCUUUCACCAUCGACGAAGGUUCGGGUUUUCUCGGAUUGACGGUAGGUGGAGAAGAAGCACCGGCCAACUACGUGCCAGCAGCCGCGGUAAUACGUAGGGUGCGAGCGUUGUCCGGAAUUACUGGGCGUAAAGAGCUCGUAGGUGGUUUGUCGCGUUGUUCGUGAAAUCUCACGGCUUAACUGUGAGCGUGCGGGCGAUACGGGCAGACUUGAGUACUGCAGGGGAGACUGGAAUUCCUGGUGUAGCGGUGGAAUGCGCAGAUAUCAGGAGGAACACCGGUGGCGAAGGCGGGUCUCUGGGCAGUAACUGACGCUGAGGAGCGAAAGCGUGGGGAGCGAACAGGAUUAGAUACCCUGGUAGUCCACGCCGUAAACGGUGGGUACUAGGUGUGGGUUUCCUUCCUUGGGAUCCGUGCCGUAGCUAACGCAUUAAGUACCCCGCCUGGGGAGUACGGCCGCAAGGCUAAAACUCAAAGAAAUUGACGGGGGCCCGCACAAGCGGCGGAGCAUGUGGAUUAAUUCGAUGCAACGCGAAGAACCUUACCUGGGUUUGACAUGCACAGGACGCCGGCAGAGAUGUCGGUUCCCUUGUGGCCUGUGUGCAGGUGGUGCAUGGCUGUCGUCAGCUCGUGUCGUGAGAUGUUGGGUUAAGUCCCGCAACGAGCGCAACCCUUGUCUCAUGUUGCCAGCGGGUAAUGCCGGGGACUCGUGAGAGACUGCCGGGGUCAACUCGGAGGAAGGUGGGGAUGACGUCAAGUCAUCAUGCCCCUUAUGUCCAGGGCUUCACACAUGCUACAAUGGCCGGUACAAAGGGCUGCGAUGCCGCGAGGUUAAGCGAAUCCUUUUAAAGCCGGUCUCAGUUCGGAUCGGGGUCUGCAACUCGACCCCGUGAAGUCGGAGUCGCUAGUAAUCGCAGAUCAGCAACGCUGCGGUGAAUACGUUCCCGGGCCUUGUACACACCGCCCGUCACGUCAUGAAAGUCGGUAACACCCGAAGCCAGUGGCCUAACC